CGGCACCGUUAUUUUAUUGUCCGUUUAUUAGAGCCCCAUGGCCCAUGGCCGGCGCGCCGGGAGCGCGAGCAGUGGCAGGCAGGCACCACCAUGCUCGGCGCCGUCCUCCGGAUGCGGCUCCGGGUGCUCCGGCGCCACCUCCGACUCCGCGGCCGCAGGCGGAGGUGCAGCUCUCGGUCCCGGAGAGGGGGCGGCGGCGCGGCGGGGGGCGAGGAGGAGGGGGCGCGCGAGCCGGUGCUGCUCGUGUCCGGGAUGGGCGGGUCGGUGCUGCACGCGCGGCGGCGGUCGGACCCCAAGUUCGACCUCCGGGUCUGGGUGCGCAUCCUCCUCGCCGACCUCGAGUUCAAGAAGUACCUCUGGUCGCUCUACAACGCCAAAACCGGCUAUGUGGAAUCGUUGGACGACGAUGUGGAGAUUGUGGUGCCGGACGACGAUCAUGGCCUGUUCGCCAUCGACGUUCUCGAUCCUUCCUGGUUUGUAGAGCUACUGCAUCUGACUAUGGUGUACCAUUUCCAUGAUAUGAUUGAUAUGCUCCUUGACUGUGGAUACGAGAAAGGAACAACACUAUUUGGAUAUGGUUAUGAUUUUCGUCAAAGCAACAGGAUAGACAAAGCAAUGGCUGGUUUGAGAGCAAAACUUGAGACGGCUUACAAGGCCUCUGGUGGGAAAAAAGUAAACAUAAUCUCCCAUUCUAUGGGAGGAUUGCUAGUACGCUGUUUCAUGUCUAUGAAUCAUGAUAUAUUUUCAAAGUAUGUCAAUAAAUGGAUUUGCAUUGCUUGUCCAUUUCAAGGUGCCCCAGGAUGCAUCAAUGAUUCUCUUCUAACUGGACUGCAGUUUGUUUAUGGUUUUGAAAGUUUCUUUUUCGUUUCUCGAUGGGCGAUGCACCAACUGUUGGUUGAGUGCCCAUCAAUCUACGAAAUGCUACCAAAUCCAAACUUUGAGUGGAAGGAAAAACCAAUCGUUCAGGUUUGGCGAAAGAAUCCUGAAAAGGAUGGAACAGUAGAGCUAGUUUUGUAUGAAGCAACUGAUUGUGUUUCUCUGUUUGAAGAAGCUUUACAAAAUAAUGAGCUCAAUUAUAAUGGGAAGACGAUUGCACUACCAUUCAAUAUGUCCAUCUACAAAUGGGCUACUGAGACUCGCCGUAUUCUUGAGAAUGCUCAACUACCAGAUACCGUGAGUUUUUAUAGUAUACAUGGGACAUCUUAUGAAACACCAUAUGAUGUUUGCUAUGGCUCUGAAAGCUCCCCAAUUGGAGAUCUCUCAGAAGUGUGCCACACAGUGCCUACAUACACAUACGUGGAUGGAGAUUGCACUGUUCCUGUCGAAUCAGCCACGGCUGAUGGGUUCCCAGCGAAAGAAAGGGUAGGCGUCAGGGCUGACCACCGAGGGCUGCUGUGUGAUGAGAAUGUGUUCAAGUUUCUCAAGAAAUGGCUCGGCGUAAGUGAGAACACACGGGGUAGGGUGUCGAAAUCGCAAAUCAUGGACAUGCCCCCAGAGAGGAUCCCUGAUCAGGCCAGUCUCUGAUAGGUAUGGCAUCGAUUUCUUCGAGGGAACGGUUAUUUUGGUCCUUUCCCUUAAGAGAAGGGCACGCAGAUGUACCGGUAAUUGUGUACAAAAAUUAUCUACCGUGUGGAACAUUGUGAAACACUUCAUGGGCAUAUAUCACAAUGUAGUACAUAUAUCAAUAUAUCAUAUGAGCCUGGAAACUUCUGUUAAAUAUUGUCACUGUAACGACGGCUUCGUCCACCGGCCAUUUCCUGUCGUCCCCUUGCCUCCUAUCGCCGGCUCCGGCAUCUACCGGGUUUCCUCUUGUUGUGUGCACUUCGUGCUUUGUGUUUUACUGUAUUUUUGUUUGUGUCCAUGGCAGUGGAGAAGCCGCCGUUUGAAAAUAAGUUUCUCCGGCUUCUUCCCCGUCAUCGCAGCAUCUUCUCCGAUGGCCAGGCUGAUGUGUGAACGGGGAAGCCUCUGCCCCAGGCAAGAUCUCACGCGGUGUUUAAAACAUAGAGAAGAUUCAGGCUUGUGGAUAAGCCUUUGUCAGUUUUUUUUUUUGCCUCGUCCCA
RNAcentral lists this ribosomal RNA (2060 nucleotides) under Triticum aestivum (bread wheat). Its description in RNAcentral is "partial small subunit ribosomal RNA". Lineage: Eukaryota; Viridiplantae; Streptophyta; Magnoliopsida; Poales; Poaceae. The record is from RNAcentral.